GUAAAAUUUGUGCAAUUAGUCCUAGGUUAUGAGAAGAAAGUGCAAAAAGAAACCUCUGGGCAACUUGCCGCUAGCCUGCCAGACUCAUCAGCAGUGGCGUGAAUUCAUGAAUGCCAGAAGAAGCAUCCAUGAUCCAACCAUAAAUUCAUAGAUUAUGCCCCUGGAAUAAGAGGAUGUAAGUUCAAUGUGUAGCUAGAUGUAAAAGGCUAAUGUUAACGUUGCCCAUGAAAGGAAGUUAGGCUAGCGAGCAAGCAUUUUAGCCAGGUAGCCUGGGACAACAAAUAAAAGCGUGUACUGUAUGACAGAGUCAUAGACCAUUUCGUCAGCAUGAAAGAACAGAGGAUGGCAUUGGCGUUUCUCUACAAGUAGGGCAAUCCAUCGUUUAUAGACCUUUUGGGCAUUAUAACAUUCUUACCAUCUACGGUCAUCAUUUUGAACAACCCAAAGCCAACCAUGUCGACCAAGGAGGAGACACCCGCCGACGGAGACAAACCGCAGACGUCCUCCUGGAAAGAUUCUAUCUACAACCCACGAACAGGAGAGUUUAUUGGCCGAACCGCUAAAAGCUGGG
This 571-nucleotide long non-coding RNA is filed under the name Salmo salar (Atlantic salmon). Its description in RNAcentral is "lncRNA (ENSSSAG00000089436.1)". The record is from RNAcentral. Lineage: Eukaryota; Metazoa; Chordata; Actinopteri; Salmoniformes; Salmonidae.